Molecule: ribosomal RNA, 497 nt
Filed under: uncultured bacterium
Lineage: Bacteria
Description: partial 16S ribosomal RNA
Rfam family: Bacterial small subunit ribosomal RNA
Source: RNAcentral
GAUGAACGCUGGCGGCGUGCCUAAUACAUGCAAGUCGAGCGAACAGACGAGGAGCUUGCUCCUCUGACGUUAGCGGCGGACGGGUGAGUAACACGUGGAUAACCUACCUAUAAGACUGGGAUAACUUCGGGAAACCGGAGCUAAUACCGGAUAAUAUAUUGAACCGCAUGGUUCAAUAGUGAAAGACGGUUUUGCUGUCACUUAUAGAUGGAUCCGCGCCGCAUUAGCUAGUUGGUAAGGUAACGGCUUACCAAGGCAACGAUGCGUAGCCGACCUGAGAGGGUGAUCGGCCACACUGGAACUGAGACACGGUCCAGACUCCUACGGGAGGCAGCAGUAGGGAAUCUUCCGCAAUGGGCGCAAGCCUGACGGAGCAACGCCGCGUGAGUGAUGAAGGUCUUCGGAUCGUAAAACUCUGUUAUUAGGGAAGAACAAAUGUGUAAGUAACUAUGCCCGUCUUGACGGUACCUAAUCAGAAAGCCACGGCUAACUACGUG